This 460-nucleotide ribosomal RNA is filed under the name uncultured bacterium. RNAcentral's name for it is "partial 16S ribosomal RNA". It matches the Rfam family "Bacterial small subunit ribosomal RNA", at positions 338 to 795 of the family's 1533-position model. The record is from RNAcentral.
CCUACGGGCGGCUGCAGUGAGGAAUAUUGGUCAAUGGGCGGAAGCCUGAACCAGCCACGUAGCGUGCAGGAUGACGGCCCUACGGGUUGUAAACUGCUUUUAUACGGGAAUAACGCGCCUUACGUGUAGGGCUUUGCAUGUACCGUAUGAAUCAGGACAGGCUAAUUCCGUUCCAGCAGCCGCGGUAAUACGGAAGGUCCGGGCGUUACCCGGAUUGAUUGGGGUUAAAGGGAGCGUAGGCCGCAUGUCAAGCGUGCUGUGAAAUGUCCGGGCUCAACCCGGGCCGUGCAGCGCGAACUGGCGUGCUUGAGUCCGCGGAAGGCAGGCGGAAUUCGUCGUGUAGCGGUGAAAUGCUUAGAUAUGACGAAGAACCCCGAUGGCGAAGGCAGCUUGCUGCAGCGGAACUGACGCUGAGGCUCGAAAGCGCGGGUAUCGAACAGGAUUAGAUACCCGUGUAGUC